Molecule: non-coding RNA, 46 nt
Organism: Schistosoma haematobium
Lineage: Eukaryota; Metazoa; Platyhelminthes; Trematoda; Strigeidida; Schistosomatidae
Source: Rfam
GCACUGGUGAGGAGUCCCACAAUAGGACAAAACGGCCGUCCAGUGC